GCUGCGGCACGGCCUGGCCGCGAGCACCGCGGCCGCUCUGCGCCACGAUCCCGGGCUCGCCAUGCAUUGGUCACCCGAGGAGCAGGCCGUGCUCGACGACGGAUUGGCCAAGUAUGCGCUUGAUGCAGCUAUAGUUCGCUAUGCAAAAAUUGCUCUGCGUCUGCCCAAUAAGACAGUACGAGAUGUCGCCCUUCGCUGCAGAUGGAUGACUGUAACUAAUUUGCUGGCACAUUUCCAACAACAAGGAAACCAAGAUCUUCACAGCGUGUUAAAUUAUCUUGCAAUGGGAAGUAACAACAAAAUGCAUAUCUUCAUCUCAGUCAUCUGCUAGAGCAACCUCAACAAUGCUUAUGGCUGUAAUUGGUUCCAUAGCUCUGUUUCCAAAGGUGUUGGACAUCAAGAAGUAUGCAUACGGAGAAAUAAGUUUCAAAUCAUUCACAAGGGCAAGCAACUUCUGAAUACGAAUGAUGCAAGAUUUUGAUCAAAGAACACAUACUGUCUGCUCAAGCAGAUACACCGUAGUCCACAAACCGCUCACCAAAGAAUCUGGGCUGCUUGUUGGUGUGGCGGACUAUGGAAGGAACAUGGACACUUGGAUUCAGCUACUGAUGAUCCCGUCUACACUAAUUUGUGUGUGGCUCUAGAGAAAUUUAAGUUUGCUCUUUUAUAGGUAGUAAAGAUUAUCAAUUGGCACCUCUGGACUAGACCCUGGAGCCAACAAGAAACAUCGAACAAGCAACUAGGUCUGAUUUGAUCCUUCCAUCCACGGAGAAGAAACUUGUAGAAAUCAAGGAGUAACUAGGUUAAUUUGUCGGUGCGCUCUCAUCCAAGUGAUUUUGUUUUCUAAGUCAUAAUAUAGUAAAAAUUAUUA
Molecule: long non-coding RNA, 871 nt
Organism: Lolium rigidum
Lineage: Eukaryota; Viridiplantae; Streptophyta; Magnoliopsida; Poales; Poaceae
Exons: 4
Source: RefSeq, a predicted model, not a curated record